ACGGGGGGGGCAAGCGUUGUUCGGAAUUACUGGGCGUAAAGGGCGCGUAGGCGGCCCUCUAAGUCGGACGUGAAAUCCCUCGGCUCAACCGGGGAACUGCGUCCGAUACUGGAGGGCUUGGAUCCGGGAGAGGGAUGCGGAAUUCCAGGUGUAGCGGUGAAAUGCGUAGAUAUCUGGAGGAACACCGGUGGCGAAGGCGGCAUCCUGGACCGGCAUCGACGCUGAGGCGCGAAAGCCAGGGGAGCAAACGG
RNAcentral lists this ribosomal RNA (251 nucleotides) under uncultured prokaryote. Its description in RNAcentral is "partial 16S rRNA". It matches the Rfam family "Bacterial small subunit ribosomal RNA", at positions 525 to 775 of the family's 1533-position model. The record is from RNAcentral.